This is a long non-coding RNA of Bos taurus (domestic cattle), 1180 nucleotides long. Lineage: Eukaryota; Metazoa; Chordata; Mammalia; Artiodactyla; Bovidae. The record is from Ensembl.
GCCCAGCUUUAAUGAUGGUCUUGGCCCUUAUUAAGCUCCUAAGAGUCAUCCUGAAGCAAGCCAUGGGCUAACAGCAAUACCAAGAGGAGAUUCAGGUUGGGAGAGAAUCGCUUUUACCUUAAGCAUGCAUCUUUCUUCUUCUUCUCUUUUUUUUUUAAGGUUUUCUUUUUAUUUAUUUAUUACUUAUUUAGCUGCGUCAGAUCCCAGUUGCAGCCUUCUCGAUCUUUCACUGUGGCAUACAGGCUCUCUAGUUCCGACCGUCCCUCCCUUUCCUGAGUGCUCAGUUGUGUCUGACUCUUUUCGACCCACGGACUGUAGACCACCAGGCUCCUCUGUCCAUGGGACUCUCCAGGCAAGAAUACUGGAGUGGGUUGCCAUUUUCUUUAAGGGAUCUUCCCGACCCAGGGAUCCAACACAUGUCUCCCAUGUUGGCAGGUGUGGUUACAGAAGAUAUUGUAGAGAGAAUAUUCAACUGCUUGGGUGUGGGCCCAAAGGAGGCAGAGAAGCUGGUUCACUGACUGCUGAGGUUUUUUUAGAUAAGCUGUUCUCUAAGAGUCAGACACGACUGAGCGACUUCACUUUCACUCUUCACUUUCAUGCAUUGGAGGAGGAAAUGCCAACCCACUCCAGUGUUCUUGCCUGGAGAAUCCCAGGGACGGGGGAGCCUGGUGGGCUGCCGUCUAUGGGGUCGCACAGAGUCGGACACGACUGAAGCGACUUAGCAGCAGCAGCAGCAGCAUCUUUUAUUUAGAUGCUGAUUGUAUUAUUUAGGGGUGUCAUAUCUGUAUCCUUGAUCUCCUCAGCUAGGUUUAAAUCCACUCAGUAUAUGUGGACCAGUUUGCUAAUUCUCUUCUCCAUAGUAUCUACUCCAGUGGAGGCAGAGAGUCAAUAUUUGGUAGGUGCUUUUUGAAAAAAUGAUACAUUCUGUAAUUAAUUCUUGAAAUAAUAAAUCCUCAUUUGAAAAUUUGCUCAUCUUCUUAGAUAGCCACUGUUCCCAUGACCUAGCACUUAAUGUAGCGUUCAGAUUGCCUGGGUACAAAUUGUAGCUGUGUCUCUUACUAGGUGUGUGACCCUGGGCGAAACGCUUAAUAUUUCUGUACCUCAGUGUCCUUGUCUGUAAAACAAAGACUGUUAAAUUAUUGCAUAUUUGUUUUGAUGAAUAAAUUAGUAUGUGUAAAAU